This 253-nucleotide ribosomal RNA is filed under the name uncultured bacterium. RNAcentral describes it as "partial 16S ribosomal RNA". It matches the Rfam family "Bacterial small subunit ribosomal RNA", at positions 524 to 776 of the family's 1533-position model. The record is from RNAcentral.
UACAGAGGUCUCAAGCGUUGUUCGGAUUCAUUGGGCGUAAAGGGUGUGUAGGUGGCGCGCUAAGUCGGGUGUGAAAUUUCGGAGCUUAACUCCGAAACUGCAUUCGAUACUGGCGUGCUUGAGGACUGGAGAGGAGACUGGAAUUCAUGGUGUAGCAGUGAAAUGCGUAGAGAUGUGGAGGAACACCAGUGGCGAAGGCGACUCUUUGGUCUGUAACUGACGCUGAGGCGCGAAAGCGUGGGGAGCAAACAGG